CAUUUUCGCGUUCUGAGUGCAAAUUCCUUUCGAUCGACUGAAUAAGUACCAGUCAAGCUCUGGGGUCGAUCUAAUCGACUUGCUCUAGCCCAAAAUUUCAGGUCAUUACGCCUAUAAUACUUUACGACAGUCUCCGCAAAUGUCAGUUGUGGAAGUUUUUCCCCCUUGGUAAGAUUUAAUUCCUCAAUUACCCGAUAGGGGGACAGUGGUGAAUAAUAGCUUCUAACGAGAACUGACAAUAGUGGUGAGGUGGGAGAAUAUUUGAUACCGUCGUCUCCGUUCUUGACUGGUUCUCUAUUUUAUUGACCCCGAAGAGAUGAAAAGAAGAAUUGACGUCGGUGAGAUUUGAGCUCAAAACUUAAAAAAUUGGAAGAAAUACUGCAUAGCGUAAAGAAGUGCUGUUAAUUUUGGCGCAAUGCAGGAAAUUUCGUUUCGGUAAUUAAAGCAAGCCAUUACAGUUUUUUCAUUUACUCCCCUUUGCUUCAGUCUGGCUUUCGUCGGGGAACCUGCUACACGUGGUAGCAGAUUAUCUUCGUCUCUUUUCUUCUAAGAAAUUAGCGACUUUUGUAUCAAGACUGCCGUGGAAAAUGAUUGUGUCGAAGAUAAUGAUGAAAUAAUUAUCUGGUGAUAUUGGCAUCUACAGACGCUUUUACAUCAACGAUUAUUAAAAUCUGUGUAAAAGAGAUAAACAUCUGCAUAUUUUGGUGUGAGAAGAAUAAAUACGGAAAAUGAAUUCUGUGAAAGCAAGGUUAAAUCUGUAACUCAGUCUAUAAAAGGAUUGAUUCUUCUGCUGCUACAGAAGAAGGAACAGAUUUUCAGAUGACAUCACCCUCUACUGAUGGAGUCGGCUACUCUGGGAAACCUGUUUAAAAUCUCAGCCAAGGCAGCAUCUGCAUCAAUUCCACGAACUAAUUGGGUGAAAUGUUUCACGAGUCACUUAGCUCAGUGGUACAGCAUGCUUAAUUGGGGUUCGAGAAGUAUGGGUUUGGCCAUCUGUUGCGGCUUGCCGUGCAAUUUUUGCACUCAAGAAGACCUGCCCUCCACAGCAGAAGUGUUAUGGUUGCGUCACCUGGUGAAGAAGAUUGACCUGCAAGCGCCCUGUGUCAAUACCACAGAAAAUGCACUUGUAUUGGUGUCAUGUAAAAUAUCUCAUGCUGGUGGCCCGUUAAAAGCACUCCGCACACUGUAAAGCGGUUGGUGUUGGGAAGGACAUCCGGCUGUAGAAACCAAGCCAAGUCAAACUGGAGCCUAAUGCAGCUUCCUAGCUUGCUUGUUCUGGUCAAACCGUCCGACCCAUGCCAGCACGGAAAACAGACACGAACCCUUUAAUGUUAGAUUACUCUGUAAGAUGUUCUGCUUAUUUAUUCAUAUUGUUUUGUGUUAAUCAUGCAUUAGGUGUAAGAGUGGCUGUGUGGUAAGUAGCUUGCUUACGAGCCACAAGGUUCCGGGCUCAGUUCCACUGCGUGGCACCUUGG
This 1475-nucleotide long non-coding RNA is filed under the name Octopus sinensis (East Asian common octopus). RNAcentral's name for it is "uncharacterized LOC115225450, transcript variant X1". The record is from RNAcentral. Lineage: Eukaryota; Metazoa; Mollusca; Cephalopoda; Octopoda; Octopodidae.